This 1401-nucleotide ribosomal RNA is filed under the name uncultured bacterium. RNAcentral describes it as "partial 16S ribosomal RNA". It matches the Rfam family "Bacterial small subunit ribosomal RNA". The record is from RNAcentral.
AGUUUGCUUCUGGCUCAGGAUGAACGCUAGCGGCAGGCUUAACACAUGCAAGUCGAGGGGCAGCGGGGAGGUAGCUUGCUUUCUCCGCCGGCGACCGGCGCACGGGUGAGUAACACGUAUGCAACCUGCCCCUGUCAGGGGGACAACCCGCCGAAAGGCGGGCUAAACCCGCGUACAUGCCACCGGGGCAUCCCGGAGGCAGGAAAGGCUUCGGCCGGACAGGGAUGGGCAUGCGGCGCAUUAGGCAGUAGGCGGGGUAACGGCCCACCUAACCGACGAUGCGUAGGGGUUCUGAGAGGAAGGUCCCCCACACUGGUACUGAGACACGGACCAGACUCCUACGGGAGGCAGCAGUGAGGAAUAUUGGUCAAUGGUCGGGAGACUGAACCAGCCAAGCCGCGUGAGGGAGGAAGGUACAGAGUAUCGUAAACCUCUUUUGUCAGGGAACAAAGGCGGGGACGUGUCCCCGGAUGAGUGUACCUGAAGAAAAAGCAUCGGCUAACUCCGUGCCAGCAGCCGCGGUAAUACGGAGGAUGCGAGCGUUAUCCGGAUUUAUUGGGUUUAAAGGGUGCGUAGGCGGGGAGCCAAGUCAGCGGUAAAAUCGUGGGGCUCAACCCCAUCCCGCCGUUGAAACUGGUUUUCUUGAGUGGAUGAGAAGUAUGCGGAAUGCGUGGUGUAGCGGUGAAAUGCAUAGAUAUCACGCAGAACUCCGAUUGCGAAGGCAGCAUACCGGCAUCCAACUGACGCUGAAGCACGAAGGCGUGGGUAUCAAACAAAGUUAGAUACCCUGGUAGUCCACGCAGUAAACGACCAUAAUGGUUGUCCGGGGCGAGUGAGCUCUGGGUGAUACAGCGAAAGCGUUAAGCAUUUCAUCUGGAGAGUAGGCGGGCAUCGGUGAAAAUCAAAGGAACUGACCGGGGCCCGCACUAGCGGCGGUACAUGUGCUUUAAUUUGACAAGAUGUGUGGAACGUUAUCCCGGAUCUAAGGUAACAGGAAUAAUUGAGAAAUCAGUUAGUUCUUCGGAACUUGCUGCAAGGUGAUGCAUGGUUGUAGUCAGUUAGUGCGGGGAGGAGUGGAAGUAAGCGCCAUAAGGAGCGCACCUCUCGCGGGCAGUUGGUAACAGAUAAAAUGGAGGAGUCUGCACAGAUUUCCGGCGCAAACCGCGAGCAAGGAGGGGAAGACAUCAAAUCAGCGCGAGCUCUAUGUCUGGGCAGACACAGGUGUUCCAAUGGGUGGUACAGCGGGAAGCCAGGCGGGGACGCCGAGCGGAACCCGAAAUCCACUAUCAGUUAGGAUCGGAGUCUACAACCCCACUCCGUGAAGCUGGAUUCGCUAGUAAUCGAACAUCAGCCACGGCGCGGGGAAUACGUUCCCGGGCCUUGCACACGCCGCCCGUCAAG